Molecule: small nuclear RNA, 96 nt
Organism: Fukomys damarensis (Damara mole-rat)
Lineage: Eukaryota; Metazoa; Chordata; Mammalia; Rodentia; Bathyergidae
Source: Ensembl
GUGCUUGCUUUGGCAGCACAUAUACUAAUACAGAGAAGAUUAACAUGGCCCUUGUGCAAGGAUGCCAUGCAAAUUUGUGAAGCGUUCUAUAUGUUU